UUUGCCAAGUACCCACCCUCGUAUGGUUAAUAACAGAGCUGUGGGAACUGUUGUACAGUUUGCAUCACUCAGUGCUGUCUGUGCUCCUAAUGCAAGGCAUUUCCUGUGUGAGAAGUUCUUAGAUGUCAGAUCAUGGGAAGUGAUCACUUGCUGUGCAGCUCACACACACACUGGAGUAGCUGGGACAGCACUGAGUUUACACCUUCUAUAGCUGUUCCUGCGGCUCUAUCAAGCAUGGGAGGAGAACUAGACUACAGAGGACUCCUGAUACCCUCUCCUCACCAGCCUACUUAAGCUCCAAAAAGGUACUUUAUAGGUGCUAUAAAUAGGUAACCCCCUACAGGAUAUGCACCUACAGGACCCGUGUAAGUGUCAAACAGUUGGUUGAUCAAAUUGGUUUUGAGACUCCUGGCACCAUAGUGACUACAGCAAGCUGUACUUAGACUACCCCUUCAAUCAAAUAGAACAUGUUAAAGAUGGUAUUCCAUUUAAUGCAGGAAUAAAUUAUUUGCCUUUUCCAAAGUUGCCUUAUAUCGUCAGGACCUCUGUGCAUCCCUAACCAUUUACUUACAAUGGCUAUUAUCGUAUUUGAACUAGUAAGCUAUACAUAGUAUUUCAUAGGAAUGAAACAUUUGGUCCGCCGUCCUCACAAUCUCUAUAUGUAGCUCAAAGAUUUAAUUUUUUUUGGACAUUUUUAAUUAUCAAAGUGGUUCAUUGCUUUUUCACACUGUAAUUACAGGAAGUGCUGUCUUGCGAAGGCCAGGAUAUUGAUAUUCCUUUUUUUUUGCUAUUUUUAACUGAUGUUACUGGCUGGUGAGAUUUCAGCCUGCAACUGAGCCUUUGACCUAUUUAUAUGGUAAAUUAUUU
Molecule: non-coding RNA, 867 nt
Organism: Pelobates cultripes (western spadefoot toad)
Lineage: Eukaryota; Metazoa; Chordata; Amphibia; Anura; Pelobatidae
Source: the annotation of a GenBank genome assembly